Long non-coding RNA from Panthera uncia (snow leopard), 999 nucleotides. RefSeq lists it as uncharacterized. The record is from RefSeq and is a predicted model, not a curated record. Lineage: Eukaryota; Metazoa; Chordata; Mammalia; Carnivora; Felidae. The transcript has 4 exons.
CCGACGGCCAGGCAGAAUCCACCCCCGCCGGGCGCUAUGGUUUCCAAGCCGCGCUCCACGCCCAAGUCCCGCCCUAGCCCUCAGCUGGCGCUGCCUUUCUCCUCAUGGCCGGUGUUGGCCAGCCUGCCCGCCAUUAACAGCCGGAUGGGCCUGAGAGUCGACGCUUCCAGUGCCUGGGCGCGUCCUUGUCCUCGCCUCACCACGGUGGCCCAAACGGAGUGGCUCUGAAGGACUCUGCGCCGUGUUUUCCCGCUCUCUGUGUGCUUAAAGAGAGCGAACGGGCGGAGAGAACGGCGAAUCUGCAGAACCCCGCGGGGCCGCAUAUUCCUUCAAGAGUCCGAGGAAGGCGACUCGAGGGACGGGAGCAGGGCUGGCUGUGGCGUGGUCGCUGCCGUCGCGCCCUCGGCCGGAUCGUGUGACUCCUGAGACCCGGGACCCGUUGGUGUUGAGGAGACCAAGCCUGGCAGGAGGCUGGAGCAGGCACAGGCAAAGCGCACGUUAGAAUGGGAAGAACCCCUGAGGCCUAGUUAUAAGAAAGCAAAUGCCUUGACCUAAGGGUUGGCCCACUCAUGCCACAGAGGCAGCAGCUAGCCUUCAUCAAGAAGGGGUAAGGACAAACCACAGGAACCCCACUGGACCACAUUUUAAGCAUCUGGUUUGCACAAAGGCCGCAUUCCUGUCUCUGCCUUUUCACCGCUGCCAUUUGGUUGCACGUUGAAUACUCCAUAAUAACAUACAAGAAGCUUCUGAAAAGACUCAUUGGUGAAGAAUACCUCCUGGAUUCAUUUAUCGCCCUUGCAACAUGUCCUGUCUGCGUCUACCCUCUUGGCACCUUCUGAGGACGCAGCUGUGAACGGCACAGAAGCAUUUCUGCCCUAUGGAAUUCUCAGCCUCAGGGCUUUCAGUAGUAAGAUGCUGAAUCAGUUUAUUUAUAAACAGAGAACUGGGCAAAUAAAUCAACUGUACAGAUAAGUUGUACAAACCAAGGCUCUGACAUGA